CAUCCGCCCGGGUACUACGAGCACAGCUUAAAACCCAAAGGACUUGGCGGUGUCUCAGACCCACCUAGAGGAGCCUGUUCUAAAACCGAUACCCCCCGUUAAACCUCACCACUCCUUGUUCUCCCCGCCUAUAUACCGCC
RNAcentral lists this ribosomal RNA (140 nucleotides) under Noturus exilis (slender madtom). RNAcentral's name for it is "partial 12S ribosomal RNA". Lineage: Eukaryota; Metazoa; Chordata; Actinopteri; Siluriformes; Ictaluridae. The record is from RNAcentral.